This is a small nuclear RNA of Fukomys damarensis (Damara mole-rat), 107 nucleotides long. The record is from Ensembl. Lineage: Eukaryota; Metazoa; Chordata; Mammalia; Rodentia; Bathyergidae.
GUGCUUUCUUUGGCAGCACAUAUACUUAAAUUGGAAUGAUUCAAAGAAGAUAAGCAUGUCCCCUGCACAAGGAUGACAUGCAAUUUCAUGAAUCAUUCCAUGUUUUU